GGGACAAACAAAAAACGGGCCUGCCUCUCAACAAGCUUAUGAACGGAAAGAGCACAAACAAAAUGAACAGCUAAUCUGGUAGGUCACAGAGAAAAAUGCAGAAUAUCACAAAGGAAAGAGAUCCAUCUCUGGGGCUGUCAAGAGUGCAGAGAACUGACACCUGACCUGGCUCGAAAGGGGAAACAGUGGUCCUCAGGAAGCCUCCUGGGCAGGGGAGGAACAGUGGAGAGAGGGGGAAGAAGGGGCCUUUUUUGGAAUCAAAGCAAGCAGCAGGUGCAAAGCAAUAGAGGAAAGACAUAGUAUCUCAUCCUGAAACACACGCAGUCAGCGUUCCUGGCGAAUUUGAUGGCAAGAGACAGAAAAUGAGGAGGUGGCUGCUGUGAAAGAAGCCGGUACAGGUGAGGGCGCUGAGCCACGGGGACCACCUGGACCACUCUCAGCCCCAGUACCGCCAGCAGCAGGAGGCGGGGGAUGCUUCCUGAAGAGACCUGGUCACAUGUGCAUGUUGGAGCGAGAUCUCAGGAUGAUAGCAAGAUCAUGAAGAAGAGGAUUAUGCAACCUGAGCCCCAAGAUGUAAAAGGCUUAGCGACUGUAUAAGGAAGAACUAAUUGAAGACAAGAAGGAAUGUGCAGUGAUGUACAUUAAUGCUGUGGCAAGACCUAUUAAAGAAAAAAUUGACAUCAUGUCAAAAUUGGACCAAUUCACAGCCUCCUGAGUGGUCUCCUUGCCUCUGGACUUCAAUCUUUCCACAAGAACAUUCCCCUCUGCAAAAGGCUACUAUAGGAAUCAACCUGAAGCCAGGCAUCCUUGCAAUCCCAGUACUCAGGAGGCAAAGAGAGAAGUACAUCUGAGUUUGACUUCAGUGUAAACUAUGUAGUGAGACUGUAUAAAUAAAUAAAUAAAUAAAUAAGAUUAUUGACUAUUCUUUCAGUGAAAUUCUGUAAUGUGGAGAUUAUCUGAUCAUGUAGGGCUCUUCAACUGCCAGGUGUGGUGGCACAUGCCUACAGUCCCAAAAUUUGGGAGGGUGGAAGAUCUGUGCAAGUUCCAAUCUACCCUACAAUGCAUAGUGAAUUCAGAGUCAACCUGAACUUCAUAGUGGGAUCUUGUCUCAAAAAGACAAAAGACAAAGCCAGGUGUGGUGGCGCUUGCCUAUAAUCCCAGCACUCAGGAGGCUGAGGCAGGAGGAUCGUUCAGAGUUUGAAUCCAUUCUGGAGUACAAAAUGAGCUCAAACCCAGCCUGAACUACAUAGCAGGACCCUGUCUCAAAAAAAAAAAAAAGACAAAAGACACAGGACUUAUAUCUAGAACAGAGAAAGAGCCAAUCCAAAAACGAGCACCUGAGAACACACACUUCUCAGAUGAAGAAAUACAAAUAGCAAAUUAAAAUAUGAAAAAAUGGUCAACAUCAUUGGUCAUUCAAGAAAUGGAAGCUGGGCAUGGUGGCACAUGCCUGUAAUCCCAGCACUGAGGAGGCUGAGGCAGAAGGAUCAUUACGAGUUCAAGGCCAGCUUGGACUACAAAGUGAGCUCAAGGCCAGUCUGAACAGCAUAGUGAAACCUUGUCUCAAAAAGAUGGAAAAAAAAAAGAGAAGUGCAAAUUAAAACAACACCGAGGUUCCAUUUCUCUUCAGAAAGAAUGGUUACCAUCAAGAAAUCAACCAAUAACAAAUGCUGGUGAGGCUCUGGGGAAAAAGGAACUCUUCUUCACUGUUGAUGUGAAUACAGACUCGUGCAACCACUGUGAAAAUCAGUGCAUAGAUUCCUCAAAAAACUAGGAGUAGAGGUCCCAUUCAAACCAGCUAUUCCCCUUCUGGUUGUUUUCCCAGAAGAAUUGAAAGCAUCAUACCGCAGCGAUAUAUGUGCACCCAUGUUUAUAGCAGCACAAUUUGUCAUAGUUAAAUCUUGGAAAUAAUCCAAAUGCCCAUCAACUGAGAAAUGGAUAGAAAAGAUGUGGUAUUUUUAUACAAUAGAGUAUUACUCAGCUAUGAAGAAGGAUAAAGUUGAGACAUUUAUAGAGAAACAGAUGCAACUAGAAACCGUACUCAUAAGUGAAAUAAAUCAGACUUGCAUGUAUAAAUAUCAUAGUCUCCCUAGUGUAAGAAGCUGAAAGAGUAUAUAAGAUCCAAAAUGUACAAUAGAUAUUGUGCAUAGGAAGAAACUGUUCAAAAGGAAAAAAAAACUGGGAUAGGGGAAAGGAGAAAAGGAAGGGAAAAGGAAAAAAUACACACACAAUUAAUUAACAACCCCAGUUGAGAUAGUUAUACUGCUAAUUGCUAUUAGUUCAUUGAAAAGAAAGGUUUGUACCUAUAUUUUUGAUCAAUUUUUCAUUUCUAUAUCUUGUAAUAUGAGCAACUACUUUGACGAUAACAAUAUGCAGUGUACUGACUAUUGU
Molecule: long non-coding RNA, 2391 nt
Organism: Chinchilla lanigera (long-tailed chinchilla)
Lineage: Eukaryota; Metazoa; Chordata; Mammalia; Rodentia; Chinchillidae
Source: Ensembl